This 425-nucleotide ribosomal RNA is filed under the name uncultured bacterium. RNAcentral describes it as "bacterial SSU rRNA". It matches the Rfam family "Bacterial small subunit ribosomal RNA", at positions 359 to 776 of the family's 1533-position model. The record is from RNAcentral.
GAAUAUUGGACAAUGGGCGAAAGCCUGAUCCAGCCAUGCCGCGUGUGUGAAGAAGGUCUUCGGAUUGUAAAGCACUUUAAGUUGGGAGGAAGGGUUGUAGAUUAAUACUCUGCAAUUUUGACGUUACCGACAGAAUAAGCACCGGCUAACCUCGUUCCAGCAGCCGCGGUAAUACGUAGGGUGCAAGCGUUAAUCGGAAUUACUGGGCGUAAAGCGUGCGCAGGCGGUUUUGUAAGACAGAGGUGAAAUCCCCGGGCUCAACCUGGGAACUGCCUUUGUGACUGCAAGGCUAGAGUACGGCAGAGGGGGGUGGAAUUCCGCGUGUAGCAGUGAAAUGCGUAGAUAUGCGGAGGAACACCGAUGGCGAAGGCGACCACCUGGGCUAAUACUGACACUGAGGUGCGAAAGCGUGGGGAGCAAACAGG